This is a long non-coding RNA of Lagenorhynchus albirostris (white-beaked dolphin), 468 nucleotides long. RefSeq lists it as uncharacterized. Lineage: Eukaryota; Metazoa; Chordata; Mammalia; Artiodactyla; Delphinidae. The record is from RefSeq and is a predicted model, not a curated record. The transcript has 3 exons.
CCUCUUAUGAAUAUAAUGAAGUUUGCAAUGAUAGCAGAAAAGAUUUCCUACACUGAAGAAGCUAACUGAACUGUAGACUGCUGCUGAAUUCGAUCAACAGGAGGACCCUAAAAGUCACAUUCCUGAAACAUAGAAGUUCUUCGAUUUCAGUAGUGCCUCUGAUUUCAAGGUUCUCGUUGUCUACCUUCUUUCAUGACUAUGUAAUGAGACCAGGGAUUGAUCUGUUUUUCUUAUCUCUACUACGCAGCCAACAGGUAUUAUACCUAGCUUCUAGCUGACAGACAUGGUGAUAGACUUGGAAAGCAUGUGAAGAAAGGCAGCAAAUCUUCCAAUCUGGAUCCUUAAAUGACUGUAUGAAGCAGAGUCACCAUUUGAUCAAACAAUAUGGUGAAAUAUUCUCAUUUGUGCAGCAAGGUAAAGUAACAACUGCUCCAGAUUACUGAGUGAGAAAUAUAAACUUCUUAUUCU